GACGAACGCUGGCGGCGUGCUUAACACAUGCCAGUCGAGCGGAAAGGCCCUUCGGGGUCCUCGAGCGGCGAACGGGUGAGUAACACGUGAGUAAUCUGCCCUUGGCUUUGGGAUAACUACCGGAAACGGUGGCUAAUACCGGAUACGACAACCGUCUGCAUGGGCUGGUUGUGGAAAGUUUUUUCGGCCAGGGAUGUGCUCGCGGCCUAUCAGCUUGUUGGUGGGGUAAUGGCCUACCAAGGCUUCGACGGGUAGCCGGCCUGAGAGGGUGACCGGCCACACUGGGACUGAGACACGGCCCAGACUCCUACGGGAGGCAGCAGUGGGGAAUAUUGGACAAUGGGCGGAAGCCUGAUCCAGCAACGCCGCGUGAGGGAUGACGGCCGUCGGGUUGUAAACCUCUUUCAGUACCGACGAAGCGCCGAUGAUGGUGGUGACGGUAGGUACAGAAGAAGCACCGGCCAACUACGUG
Molecule: ribosomal RNA, 472 nt
Filed under: uncultured bacterium
Lineage: Bacteria
Description: partial 16S ribosomal RNA
Rfam family: Bacterial small subunit ribosomal RNA
Source: RNAcentral